GAAAUAUACUUUAAUAAAGCUUCUAACUUUAUACUAAACAAUUAAAUAUUGUUUAUAUUUCU
This 62-nucleotide transfer RNA is filed under the name Hypsathalia przewalskyi. RNAcentral describes it as "tRNA-Ser". Lineage: Eukaryota; Metazoa; Arthropoda; Insecta; Hymenoptera; Athaliidae. The record is from RNAcentral.